AAGUCGUAACAAGGUUUCCGUAGGUGAACCUGCGGAAGGAUCAUUACAAAUCCAUUCACGUCUCUCUCCAAUGGAGAAGACCACGUUGAAAUGUUCCCUAGUGGGGUGGUGGUGGUGGUCGUAAGGAGGGAAGGAGGGAGGAGGGGAAGGUCACACUUCCCCCUCCCCUCCCCCCCCUUCACACAAACAACACAACACUGGGCUUGUUAAACUAGUAUUCAUCCUUUGUUGCUCAAAUGUAUCUCUUGUUCAAGAACAAAAGUACAACUUAUAACAAUGGAUCUCUUGGCUCCU
This 294-nucleotide unclassified non-coding RNA is filed under the name fungal sp. Its description in RNAcentral is "partial internal transcribed spacer region". The stretch from base 1 to 46 matches the Rfam family "Eukaryotic small subunit ribosomal RNA", at positions 1786 to 1831 of the family's 1831-position model. The record is from RNAcentral. Lineage: Eukaryota; Fungi.